AAAGAAAGUUCAGAUAGUUAGGCUUAUUAGUUAAUGGGCUAUGAGUGAUUAAUAUAUUAGGGAUAUACUACAGUAGGCAGACCGAGGUCCCACAGUUGACAGUAGAUGUCAGAGAGAUGCUUGAUGAAAACCUGCUCCAGAGUGUGCGCAGGACUUCAGACUGGGGUGAAGGUUCACCAUCCAACAGGACAACAACCCUAAACACACAGUCAAGACAACGCAGGAGGGGCUUCUGGGCAAGUCUCGUAAUGUCCUUGAGUGACCCAGCCAGAGCCCGGCCACUGCUCGGAGCCUGGUUGCUGUCUAGGUUUAUUCCUAGGUUCCUUCCUUCUAGGGAGUAUUUACUAGCCACUGUGCUUCUGCAUUGCUCUUUGGGGUUUUAGUCUCGGUACCUGCACCCUCAGCGGAGUCAACGAACACCGGAAGCAUCUGUUUUUCAGGGAAAAGGCAGAGAGGAAGCCAAAGCCUGAAAAUAACAAGCUUCUGGUGUUUCACACUAACUGACUUGUUCUUCUGAUGUUGUUCACACAGGAGACCAUAUUGAGACAUUCUCUACAUCCAGAGAGCAACAGCAGGAAGAUCAGAGCUAGGAGGUCUCACCACUGCCUACAUUGAGGAGAUUUUCCCAAUUCUAUCAAAGCUAAAAAUACACACAGGAGAGAAUCUGUAUCUCUGCUCUGACAGUUCAUAAUUCAACACUGGAGAGAAGGCCUACUCCUGUUCUGACUGCGAGAAUAUUUUCACUCAGCAGAGCAACUUAACACACCAACGUAUGUAUACACACAGGAGAGAAGCUUUACUCCUGCUCUGUUGGAAGAGUUUCUCUCAACAUGGCCACUUAAAAAGACACCAACAUACAUAAAUGUGAGAAACCUCAACAGUUCUCUGACUAGUGUAGAUUAAAAUAAUUCCUUCACUUAAUUAUCAAGAAGUUGUAACACUAUUUUAGUCGUAUUGUUUCUCACUUUGAGAGAACUGUGCAGAGGAAAGGGAGUGUUAUAGAAUGUUAGCCUCUCUUUUACUUUACUGAUCAGUAUGCACCUGGUCAGUUUUGGUGUGUUUUCUUAGCUUCUACUGUAAAGAUAUUUAGAGCACCUUAGAUUUGCCUUUAGGGUUGAAUAUCCUCUGUGAGGCUGGUUGACUGGGUGGUACUGCUUCCCUCUGCAGUUUUAUUUGAGAAUAAGCUGGUAGACACAACAUGUAUCAGAUAGAGAUGGUGUGAUGAUCAGUUUUCACCAUUAGUUUGGGUGGAUACUUUUUGUUUAUUAAAUUGUAUUUUAAAACUA
Long non-coding RNA from Oncorhynchus keta (chum salmon), 1286 nucleotides. RefSeq lists it as uncharacterized. The transcript has 2 exons. NCBI's taxonomy places the organism in Eukaryota, Metazoa, Chordata, Actinopteri, Salmoniformes, Salmonidae. The record is from RefSeq and is a predicted model, not a curated record.